This 75-nucleotide transfer RNA is filed under the name Thermincola sp. RNAcentral describes it as "tRNA-Arg". It matches the Rfam family "tRNA". From Rfam's summary of the family: Transfer RNA (tRNA) molecules are approximately 80 nucleotides in length. Their secondary structure includes four short double-helical elements and three loops (D, anti-codon, and T loops). Lineage: Bacteria; Bacillati; Bacillota; Clostridia; Eubacteriales; Thermincolaceae. The record is from RNAcentral.
GUCCUCAUAGUACAAUGGAUAGUACGGCCGCCUCCUAAGCGGCAAAUUCAGGUUCGACUCCUGAUGAGGGCACCA